UAGUCCACGCCGUAAACGAUGUCAACUAGCCGUUGGGAUCCUUGAGAUCUUAGUGGCGCAGCUAACGCAUUAAGUUGACCGCCUGGGGAGUACGGCCGCAAGGUUAAAACUCAAAUGAAUUGACGGGGGCCCGCACAAGCGGUGGAGCAUGCGGAUUAAUUCGAUGCAACGCGAAGAACCUUACCUGGGUUUGACAUGGAUCGGUAACUUCCAGAGAUGGUUGCCCCCCUUUUUGGGGUCGGUUCAC
Molecule: ribosomal RNA, 247 nt
Filed under: uncultured bacterium
Lineage: Bacteria
Description: partial 16S ribosomal RNA
Rfam family: Bacterial small subunit ribosomal RNA
Source: RNAcentral